GACGAACGCUGGCGGCGUGCCUAAUACAUGCAAGUCGAACGCAUUUUCUUUCACCGUAGCUUGCUACACCGAAAGAAAAUGAGUGGCGAACGGGUGAGUAACACGUGUGCAACCUGCCCAUCAGCGGGGGAUAACACUUGGAAACAGGUGCUAAUACCGCAUAAUUCCAUUUACCGCAUGGUAGAUGGAUGAAAGGCGCUUUUGCGUCACUGAUGGAUGGACCCGCGGUGCAUUAGCUAGUUGGUGGGGUAACGGCCUACCAAGGCUGCGAUGCAUAGCCGGCCUGAGAGGGUGAUCGGCCACACUGGGACUGAGACACGGCCCAGACUCCUACGGGAGGCAGCAGGAGGGAAUCUUCGGAAAUGGACACAAGUCUGACCGAGCAACGCCGCGGGAGUGAAGAAGGUUUUCGGAUCGUAAAACUCUGUUGUUAGAGAAGAACAAGGAUGAGAGUGGAAAGUUCAUCCCUUGACGGUAUCUAACCAGAAAGCCACGGCUAACUACGUG
This 507-nucleotide ribosomal RNA is filed under the name uncultured bacterium. Its description in RNAcentral is "partial 16S ribosomal RNA". It matches the Rfam family "Bacterial small subunit ribosomal RNA", at positions 28 to 507 of the family's 1533-position model. The record is from RNAcentral.